Molecule: non-coding RNA, 839 nt
Organism: Camellia sinensis
Lineage: Eukaryota; Viridiplantae; Streptophyta; Magnoliopsida; Ericales; Theaceae
Source: RefSeq, a predicted model, not a curated record
UUAUCAAACAAACAAUAAUAACAAACACAUCAGACAAACAUCAAUUGCCUUCAGAAUCUUUCAGGUAUCAGUACUUCUCUAUACCACAUAGGAUGCAGCCUUAGGACGAAUGACGGUAUUCUUCACCAGCCUUAGGCAUUGCCAGCCAAUGCCUAGUUGAUGCAUACAAUUUGAGUUUAAUACAUAAAUUACAAAAAAGGACAUGUGUCUCAACAACUCAGAAGGACGAAGGUGUAUCAUGAUGCUUAUCUUGGUAAGAUAUUGUGAUGCACUUAUCUUUGGUUUGAUACUGUCACUUAAUGCUGAGGCACCUAGAAGCACAUUCAAUGCAUAUGAUAGCAUGACUAAUCAAUAUAUAAUUACUUUUUUUAAUAAUCCGGGGAAUCUCCAGCCCAGCACAUAUGGGCCCAUUAAUUUUUUAACUUACCAAGAUAUAUAUCUCUAAUUAUAAAUACUAAAAACCAAACUAAUCCUUGUGUCCUUACCGUGGAAUUUUCAACAAAAAUGAAAAUACCAACCAGCAGUGAUCUCAUAUCAAAAUUUACGUAAAGCUGGUGGAAAAAUAGUUCAUGGGAUGGAUAAAAGAUUUCAAAAUUAGUCAAGGCCACUCUUAGGAUACUGUCCAUAUUAAUAUUCAAAUAUUAUACAGUAGUGGCACGGAACAAUCUAAUAGAUGUGGACUUUUUCUAAUUGGUGUAUCUGGUGACAUUUUUUACCACGUUAUAGGCAGUAAAUUACAUUCUAUUACCAGUGUUUUAUUUCAAGGAGGAUUUCAAUGAGUAUUUAUGUAGUACCUUAAUAGACAUGAUACGGAUGAUAUUAUUUUGCAAAAGCAACUA